UUCCCCCAGUGUUUGAAAACUCGUCCGAGACUUUUCAGUAUUUUCCAUGAGUAUUGUGGUACUUCUAGACUUGUUUAAGCCCAGAACUCAUUCCUUCAAAACAGAGAGCCUUAAUCUUUAUGUUGGGACACAGACCACAUAUUUGGACGGCUGCCAUGCAUCCAUCUCUGAAGGGCUGUGGACAUGAAUGUGUAUUUCGCGUGGUCUCCGCUGCCCACACCAACAGUGUGGCAUCUCAUAAGUUAACUGCUACCCUAAGGACAUGCCAUUAUGUCUUUCCAGUACGGAUCACAGUGCUGCCAUAUCACAGACGGCAUAGAACCAUGCCUCAUCACAGCUCUGCCCAACUCACAGGCUGCCAAGAUGAGGCCACAGGUCCACCUAGGGCGGCAGAUGCUGGUGCUAUUUGUCAUGACUUUUGCCAAAACACGUACACUGUUGCUCACAUCUUUCAUAAGAAUGGUUGACACUAAGGGGCCAUGGAAAAGCACUUUUAAAAAAUUAUGUGGUGGAAUCAAACUCACAGAGGCAGAAAUGUUAGCGCCAUGCUCUAACCAAAUAAGCUUAGUGUUCCCCACAGUGCUCUCCUGGGUCUCCUCAAGUGGCAACCCCCACUGUUCAGCAUGUGGAAGGUAGAUCCUUAUGACAACACCAGACCCAUAGUUACCAGGAAAGAAAAAGGAAGCUGAGUGUUGUGAAGGGGAAGAAAUCCUUUUUAUAAGAAGUAAUCAUUUUUAGGCCGGGUGCAGUGGCUCAUGCCUGUACCCAGCACUUUGGGAGGCUGAGACAGGUGGAUCACUUGAGGUCAGGAGUUUGAGACCUGCCUGGCCAACAUGAUGAAACCCUGUCUCUACUA
RNAcentral lists this small RNA (856 nucleotides) under Pongo abelii (Sumatran orangutan). RNAcentral describes it as "processed transcript". Lineage: Eukaryota; Metazoa; Chordata; Mammalia; Primates; Hominidae. The record is from RNAcentral.